AACGAACGCUGGCGGCAGGCUUAACACAUGCAAGUCGAACGCGUGUAGCAAUACACGAGUGGCGCACGGGUGAGUAACACGUGGAUAUCUGCCUUUUGGUUCGGAAUAACCCCGGGAAACUGGGGCUAAUACCGAAUGGUUCCUACGGGAUAAAGAUUUAUCGCCAAAAGAUGAGUCCGCGGCCGAUUAGCUAGUUGGCGGGGUAAUGGCCCACCAAGGCAACGAUCGGUAGCUGGUCUGAGAGGACGAUCAGCCACACUGGGACUGAGA
Molecule: ribosomal RNA, 270 nt
Filed under: uncultured bacterium
Lineage: Bacteria
Description: partial 16S ribosomal RNA
Rfam family: Bacterial small subunit ribosomal RNA
Source: RNAcentral